UCAAACUUGGUCAUUUAGAGGAAGUAAAAGUCGUAACAAGGUUUCCGUAGGUGAACCUGCGGAAGGAUCAUUAUUGAAAAGCUUUGGGGAUACUGUUGCUGGUCUUUUAACAAGGCAUGUGCACGUAUCUCUAAUCCUAUUCAUCCACCUGUGCACUUUUUGUAGGAGUUCCAAGUAGGAUUGGCUUGUAUAGUCGAUUUGAAAGGCCUUCUAUGUUUUUACAAACCAUAUUAUAGUAUGUUUAGAAUGUUCUUUUAUUGGGACUUCAUUGGCCCUUUAAAAUCUAUACAACUUUCAGCAACGGAUCUCUUGGCUCUCCCAUCGAUGAAGAACGCAGC
RNAcentral lists this unclassified non-coding RNA (338 nucleotides) under uncultured fungus. Its description in RNAcentral is "partial contains small subunit ribosomal RNA, internal transcribed spacer 1, and 5.8S ribosomal RNA". The stretch from base 1 to 73 matches the Rfam family "Eukaryotic small subunit ribosomal RNA", at positions 1759 to 1831 of the family's 1831-position model. Lineage: Eukaryota; Fungi. The record is from RNAcentral.